This 393-nucleotide ribosomal RNA is filed under the name uncultured bacterium. RNAcentral's name for it is "partial 16S ribosomal RNA". It matches the Rfam family "Bacterial small subunit ribosomal RNA", at positions 523 to 918 of the family's 1533-position model. The record is from RNAcentral.
AUACGUAGGUGACAAGCGUUAUCCGGAUUUACUGGGCGUAAAGGGCGUGUAGGCGGUCUUGCAAGUCAGAAGUGAAAGUCCUCUGCUCAACGGAGGAAGUGCCUUCCGAACUGUCCGACUGGAAUGCUCCUGCCGUGGGAGGAAUGUGUGGUGUAGCGGUGAAAUGCAUAGAGAUCACACAGAACACCGAUUGCGAAGGCAUCUCACGAAGGGGCUAUUGACGCUGAGGCACGAAAGCGUGGGGAUCAAACAGGAUUAGAUACCCUGGUAGUCCACGCAGUAAACGAUGAUGACUAACCGUCGGUCAAGACUGAUCGGUGGCCAAGCGAAAGCGAUAAGUCAUCCACCUGGGGAGUACGACCGCAAGGUUGAAACUCAAAUGAAUUGGCGGGG